Molecule: long non-coding RNA, 2195 nt
Organism: Penaeus chinensis
Lineage: Eukaryota; Metazoa; Arthropoda; Malacostraca; Decapoda; Penaeidae
Exons: 4
Source: RefSeq, a predicted model, not a curated record
UGAUUUCAGGGUGGAGAAUGGUAGUUUGUACAUCUAGCUCUAUGACGAAUGAGAAUCUAAUUCCUGAACGUUGAAAUAGGAUGGGAAAUAAGGGAUGAGUGUGGGGUAGUAUUGUAAAGUACAGUCGUGUUGUAGCCCCCAUAGUUAAGGCAAGUCACGGGAAGGUAAACAAAGCUGCCAUAGGCCUACAGAUCAUGUCAAAAGAGAGAGAGAUAGAACUUGUCGACAUUUUAAAUUUUAAAGAAGGAAAAUCUCAUGGCCAGUGUCCCUCGUGCCGGUACAUCAUGGGAGGUUUGUUGGCCUUGGCGAGAGUGCAGUGUGUGGAAGCCUUGAUGUUGCCUCGUAUUGGUUAUAAUUAGGAAUAAGUGCAAUUGGUGUGUCGCAACUGAUAAAAUGUUUGGUAAAUGUUUUGAAAUCGGUCAUUCGUGGCGAUAGAGUAAAAUUAACCAUUGUAUGUAACUGAUGUGAUUUGAUUGCUGAGUUUAUUUUUGUUGUGACUGUAUUGGAUAUUGAAGCCGAUGAAUAUGUUCAAAUGUAGAAAGUUGUUGGUUAUUUCAUAAAGCGGGCAUUGUGCGUUAGAAUUAAGUAUGUUGGAUAUACCGGGUUUACUAUUCAUUGAGAAUUAUUGAGCUUUUAACCGACUGGGGAAACUAAGUAGGGAUUGUUUUUAAAUAUUUUCUUAAGGAACAAGGGCCCCAUUUGUUGUGGCUUGAUUCUGGGUCAUUGGUCCAUUUUGUAUUUACUGUGUUGGAUGUCAAACCCUUAGACCUACUCGUCUAGUGUGGGCUGUUCAGGGGAAUUACCAAGUUAAAAUAGUUUAUUUAUACAAUAAGUUAAUAAGGAAAAGGCAAGAACUAUGUAAAUGUUGAUAGAUUGGUCGUGACACUGUUUUUAACUUGUCCAUAGAAAAUGCCUUAGACAGUGAUAAAGUUGAUACUUCAAGUGAUCUUAUGACCUCUGUACCUGUAAAUUCCUGGCAAAGGUUGAAAUAAAACGUAUACCAUGUAUAUGCUAAACAAAAGGAGCUUUGAAGUCCUCUUUUGUGAUAUUGUGGAUGCAAUUUGGCCUUUGCCAGAGAACCAUUUGGUGGAGAGACUACAGUGAUUUGCUUUAAGCUAUGCUACUCUUAAUUGCCUUUAGACUGUUGCUUCAUUUCCAUGAACCAAAGUUAAAUGGUAGCAGAAGAUUGAAAUUUACUGGUGCUUGAAUUCAGAUGGUGAAUUCGGUAUUUGAAAAUUGCACAUUUCGUGGGCACAGUACACUCCUGAUGUUUAUAAACUCGAUGAGAAAGAGGCAUUCUAUGCCAAACUUGCAUCUAUGGCAGACAGAUGUUGCCGGCUAAAUAUUUGCAUCAUACUGGCCAAUAAUUUUUGGCUGUGAAUGAGCUGGAUACAAGAUGUCUGUUGGUCAUCAUGGCUCAGGAGCUGGAUCAUCGGGUACAGUUGGCAGGACCAUGUGUCCAGCUGACAGCUACACUGUGAGACUGGCAUCGGACCUGUUACUUGCAUAAUAUGAGAUUGUCAACUCAGGCUAUGUGGGCACCCUAGCUCAUUUCCCUGUGGAUAACCCUACCCAUCAGGUUUCCUCCUUUAGACAAUCCUGGAUGGAGGAGGCCAGUUGGAUGAUGUGGGGGUUAUGGCUUGAGCAGCUUGACCAGACCUGUCACAAGGAGCUAGAGAUGGGCUGAGAGCCUGCCAAGAGAUUUGCCAUGAGGGACCCCAUGAGUGGACGUGAAGGGUGGAUAUGGCCAUGCACCCCUGUCGGCGUUAAACCCCAAUGAGGAUGACGAAGGCAAACUACAGUGGUUCUUCGUGACUUGAUGCUCGGUGGAUUCCAGACGAUGUGAAGUCUUCAUUCCUUGAAAGUGAUGACAAAAAAUGUGGGAGUUUGAUCCAGAAGUGUAGAUGUAUGGAUUGAGGCUACUACUCGUAUUGAAGAUCUGACAGGUUGUGACCAUCUGAGGUGGCUGUAGAGUGGAAAUUGCAGUGUUGGACUUGCAUAUUGGGCCUACCUUCUAUUGCUACUCAAUCAUUUCAUCCACAAAAGAUGUGUGCGACUGAUCUCAAAUGCCUUCAUGAUGGUUUUGGAUGCCGUGACUGCUAGACCUUCCAACCUGUCACUGAAAAUUUAGCCUCUGGGAGGUAGACAAUCAUGUUAAUUUGAUGUGAGAAUAAACAAAUAAAGUAUUAAUAAUG